GAUGAACGCUAGCGGCAGGCCUAAUACAUGCAAGUCGAACGGGAUCCAGAUCAAAGCUUGCUUUGGUCUGGUGAGAGUGGCGCACGGGUGCGUAACGCGUGAGCAACCUACCCUUGUCAGGGGGAUAGCCCGGCGAAAGUCGGAUUAAUACCGCAUGACAUCAUUGAGAGGCAUCUUUCGAUGAUCAAAGAUUUAUCGGACAAGGAUGGGCUCGCGUGACAUUAGCUAGUUGGUAAGGUAACGGCUUACCAAGGCUGCGAUGUCUAGGGGCUCUGAGAGGAGAAUCCCCCACACUGGUACUGAGACACGGACCAGACUCCUACGGGAGGCAGCAGUAAGGAAUAUUGGUCAAUGGACGGAAGUCUGAACCAGCCAUGCCGCGUGCAGGAAGACGGCCCUAUGGGUGGUAAACUGCUUUUAUACGGGAACAAACGUCGGUACGUGUACCGGUCUGAGUGUACCGUAAGAAUAAGGAUCGGCUAACUCCGUG
RNAcentral lists this ribosomal RNA (490 nucleotides) under uncultured bacterium. RNAcentral's name for it is "partial 16S ribosomal RNA". It matches the Rfam family "Bacterial small subunit ribosomal RNA", at positions 28 to 507 of the family's 1533-position model. The record is from RNAcentral.